Molecule: ribosomal RNA, 492 nt
Filed under: uncultured bacterium
Lineage: Bacteria
Description: partial 16S ribosomal RNA
Rfam family: Bacterial small subunit ribosomal RNA
Source: RNAcentral
AGUGAACGCUGGCGGUAGGCCUAACACAUGCAAGUCGAACGGCAGCACAGUAAGAGCUUGCUCUUACGGGUGGCGAGUGGCGGACGGGUGAGGAAUACAUCGGAAUCUACUUUUUCGUGGGGGAUAACGUAGGGAAACUUACGCUAAUACCGCAUACGACCUACGGGUGAAAGCAGGGGAUCUUCGGACCUUGCGUGAUUGAAUGAGCCGAUGUCGGAUUAGCUAGUUGGCGGGGUAAAGGCCCACCAAGGCGACGAUCCGUAGCUGGUCUGAGAGGAUGAUCAGCCACACUGGAACUGAGGAACGGUCCAGACUCCUGCGGGAGGCAGCAGUGGGGAAUAUUGGACAAUGGGCGCAAGCCUGAUCCAGCCAUACCGCGUGGGUGAAGAAGGCCUUCGGGUUGUAAAGCCCUUUUGUUGGGAAAGAAAAGCAGCAGGUUAAUACCCCGCUGUUCUGACGGUACCCAAAGAAUAAGCACCGGCUAACUUCGUG